GAUGAACGCUGGCGGCGUGCCUAAUACAUGCAAGUCGAGCGAACAGACGAGGAGCUUGCUCCUCUGACGUUAGCGGCGGACGGGUGAGUAACACGUGGAUAACCUACCUAUAAGACUGGGAUAACUUCGGGAAACCGGAGCUAAUACCGGAUAAUAUAUUGAACCGCAUGGUUCAAUAGUGAAAGACGGUUUUGCUGUCACUUAUAGAUGGAUCCGCGCCGCAUUAGCUAGUUGGUAAGGUAACGGCUUACCAAGGCAACGCUGCGUAGCCGACCUGAGAGGGUGAUCGGCCACACUGGAACUGAGACACGGGCCAGACUCCUACGGGAGGCAGCAGUAGGGAAUCUUCCGCAAUGGGCGAAAGCCUGACGGAGCAACGCCGCGUGAGUGAUGAAGGUCUUCGGAUCGUAAAACUCUGUUAUUAGGGAAGAACAAAUGUGUAAGUAACUAUGCACGUCUUGACGGUACCUAAUCAGAAAGCCACGGCUAACUACGUG
RNAcentral lists this ribosomal RNA (497 nucleotides) under uncultured bacterium. Its description in RNAcentral is "partial 16S ribosomal RNA". It matches the Rfam family "Bacterial small subunit ribosomal RNA", at positions 28 to 507 of the family's 1533-position model. The record is from RNAcentral.